GACGAGCGCAACCCUUUUCCUAUUUGCCAGCGGGUUAAGCCGGGAACUUUAAGGAUACUGCCAGUGACAAACUGGAGGAAGGCGGGGACGACGUCAAGUCAUCAUGGCCCUUACGACCAGGGCUACACACGUGCUACAAUGGUCGGUACAAAGGGUUGCUACCUAGCGAUAGGAUGCUAAUCUCAAAAAGCCGAUCGUAGUCCGGAUUGGAGUCUGCAACUCGACUCCAUGAAGUCGGAAUCGCUAGUAAUCGCGGAUCAGAAUGCCGCGGUGAAUACGUUCCCGGGCCUU
This 291-nucleotide ribosomal RNA is filed under the name uncultured Acinetobacter sp. RNAcentral describes it as "partial 16S ribosomal RNA". It matches the Rfam family "Bacterial small subunit ribosomal RNA", at positions 1091 to 1382 of the family's 1533-position model. The record is from RNAcentral. Lineage: Bacteria; Pseudomonadati; Pseudomonadota; Gammaproteobacteria; Moraxellales; Moraxellaceae.